UAGGGAAUAUUGCUCAAUGGGGGAAACCCUGAAGCAGCAACGCCGCGUGGAGGAUGAAGGUUUUAGGAUUGUAAACUCCUUUUGUUAGAGAAGAUAAUGACGGUAUCUAACGAAUAAGCACCGGCUAACUCCGUGCCAGCAGCCGCGGUAAUACGGAGGGUGCAAGCGUUACUCGGAAUCACUGGGCGUAAAGAGCGCGUAGGCGGGAUAGUCAGUCAGGUGUGAAAUCCUAUGGCUUAACCAUAGAACUGCAUUUGAAACUACUAUUCUAGAGUGUGGGAGAGGUAGGUGGAAUUCUUGGUGUAGGGGUAAAAUCCGUAGAGAUCAAGAGGAAUACUCAUUGCGAAGGCGACCUGCUGGAACAUUACUGACGCUGAUUGCGCGAAAGCGUGGGGAGCAAACAGG
Molecule: ribosomal RNA, 405 nt
Filed under: uncultured Helicobacter sp.
Lineage: Bacteria; Pseudomonadati; Campylobacterota; Epsilonproteobacteria; Campylobacterales; Helicobacteraceae
Description: bacterial SSU rRNA
Rfam family: Bacterial small subunit ribosomal RNA
Source: RNAcentral